This 127-nucleotide ribosomal RNA is filed under the name Escherichia coli. RNAcentral's name for it is "partial 23S ribosomal RNA". The stretch from base 1 to 110 matches the Rfam family "Bacterial large subunit ribosomal RNA", at positions 2813 to 2925 of the family's 2925-position model. Lineage: Bacteria; Pseudomonadati; Pseudomonadota; Gammaproteobacteria; Enterobacterales; Enterobacteriaceae. The record is from RNAcentral.
CCUUGAGAGUCCUGAAGGAACGUUGAAGACGACGACGUUGAUAGGCCGGGUGUGUAAGCGCAGUGAUGCGUUGAGCUAACCGGUACUAAUGAACCGUGAGGCUUAACCUUACAACGCCGAAGCUGUU